AGUUGAUCCUGGCUCAGGUUGAACGCUGGCGGCGUGCUUAACACAUGCAAGUCGCGCGUGAAAGGACUUCGGUCCGAGUAAAGCGGCGCACGGGUGAGUAACGCGUGGAUGAUCUACCCAUGAGUUAGGAAUAACGGCUGGAAACGGUCGCUAAUACCAAAUACGCUCCGAUUUCAACUUCGGGGGAAAGGUGGCCUCUGCUUGCAAGCUACUGCUCAUGGAUGAGUCCGCGUCCCAUUAGCUAGUUGGUGGGGUAACGGCCCACCAAGGCGACGAUGGGUAGCCGGUCUGAGAGGAUGACCGGCCACACUGGGACUGGAACACGGCCCAGACUCCUACGGGAGGCAGCAGUGGGGAAUAUUGCGCAAUGGGCGAAAGCCUGACGCAGCGACGCCGCGUGAGGGAUUGAAGGUCCUCGGAUCGUAAACCUCUGUCAGGAGGGAAGAACCGCCACGGUGCUAAUCAGCCGUGGUCUGACGGUACCUCCAAAGGAAGCACCGGCUAACUCCGUGCCAGCCGCUGC
RNAcentral lists this ribosomal RNA (523 nucleotides) under uncultured bacterium. Its description in RNAcentral is "bacterial SSU rRNA". It matches the Rfam family "Bacterial small subunit ribosomal RNA", at positions 10 to 518 of the family's 1533-position model. The record is from RNAcentral.